GACGAACGCUGGCGGCGUGCCUAAUACAUGCAAGUCGAACGCUUCUUUCCUCCUGAGUGCUUGCACUCAAUUGGAAAGAGGAGUGGCGGACGGGUGAGUAACACGUGGGUAACCUACCCAUCAGAGGGGGAUAACACUUGGAAACAGGUGCUAAUACCGCAUAACAGUUUAUGCCGCAUGGCAUAAGAGUGAAAGGCGCUUUCGGGUGUCGUUGAUGGAUGGACCCGCGGUGCAUUAGCUAGUUGGUGAGGUAACGGCUCACCAAGGCCACGAUGCAUAGCCGACCUGAGAGGGUGAUCGGCCACACUGGGACUGAGACACGGCCCAGACUCCUACGGGAGGCAGCAGUAGGGAAUCUUCGGCAAUGGACGAAAGUCUGACCGAGCAACGCCGCGUGAGUGAAGAAGGUUUUCGGAUCGUAAAACUCUGUUGUUAGAGAAGAACAAGGACGUUAGUAACUGAACGUCCCCUGACGGUAUCUAACCAGAAAGCCACGGCUAACUACGUG
RNAcentral lists this ribosomal RNA (508 nucleotides) under uncultured bacterium. RNAcentral's name for it is "partial 16S ribosomal RNA". It matches the Rfam family "Bacterial small subunit ribosomal RNA", at positions 28 to 507 of the family's 1533-position model. The record is from RNAcentral.